This 427-nucleotide ribosomal RNA is filed under the name uncultured bacterium. RNAcentral describes it as "bacterial SSU rRNA". It matches the Rfam family "Bacterial small subunit ribosomal RNA", at positions 355 to 775 of the family's 1533-position model. The record is from RNAcentral.
UAGGGAAUUUUCGGCAAUGGGCGCAAGCCUGACCGAGCAACGCCGCGUGAACGAAGAAGGUUUUCGGAUCGUAAAGUUCUGUUGUAAGGGAAGAACGAGCAAAACAGGGAAUGGUUUUGAAGUGACGGUACCUUACCAGCAAGUCACGGCUAACUACGUGCCAGCAGCCGCGGUAAUACGUAGGUGGCAAGCGUUAUCCGGAAUUAUUGGGCGUAAAGGGUGCGCAGGCGGUUGAUUAAGUUUAAGGUGAAAGUUCGGGGCUCAACCCCGUGAUGCCUUAGAAACUGGUCGACUCGAGUGCAGGAGAGGUGAGUGGAAUUCCAUGUGUAGCGGUAAAAUGCGUAGAGAUAUGGAGGAACACCAGUGGCGAAAGCGGCUCACUGGCCUGUAACUGACGCUGAGGCACGAAAGCGUGGGGAGCAAAUAG